Molecule: ribosomal RNA, 462 nt
Filed under: uncultured bacterium
Lineage: Bacteria
Description: partial 16S ribosomal RNA
Rfam family: Bacterial small subunit ribosomal RNA
Source: RNAcentral
GACGAACGCUGGCGGCGUGCUUAACACAUGCAAGUCGAACGGAAAGGCCCUUCGGGGUACUCGAGUGGCGAACGGGUGAGUAACACGUGGGUGAUCUGCCCUGCACUUUGGGAUAAGCCUGGGAAACUGGGUCUAAUACCGAAUAGGUCCGCGCGCUUCAUGAUGUGUGGUGGCAAGCGUUUGCGGUGUGGGAUGGGCCCGCGGCGUAUCAGCUUGUUGGUGGGGUAAUGGCCUACCAAGGCGACGACGGGUAGCCGGCCUGAGAGGGUGACCGGCCACACUGGGACUGAGAGACGGCCCAGACUCCUACGGGAGGCAGCAGUGGGGAAUAUUGCACAAUGGGCGCAAGCCUGAUGCAGCGACGCCGCGUGAGGGAUGACGGCCUUCGGGUUGUAAACCUCUUUCACCAGGGACGAAGCGCAAGUGACGGUACCUGGAGAAGAAGCACCGGCCAACUACGUG